Molecule: ribosomal RNA, 253 nt
Filed under: uncultured bacterium
Lineage: Bacteria
Description: partial 16S ribosomal RNA
Rfam family: Bacterial small subunit ribosomal RNA
Source: RNAcentral
UACGGAGGGGGCGAGCGUUGUUCGGAAUAACUGGGCGUAAAGCGCGCGUAGGCGGGCCUGUAAGUUAGGUGUGAAAUCCCGGGGCUUAACCUCGGAAUAGCAUUUCAGACUAUGAGUCUAGAGUUCGUGAGAGGGGAGUAGAAUUCCGCGUGUAGAGGUGAAAUGCGUAGAGAUUCGGAGGAAUACCGGAGGCGAAGGCGGCCCACUGGGACGAUACUGACGCUGAGGUGCGAAAGCGUGGGGAGCAAACAGG